UGGCUGGGGGUGAAAGGCCAAUCAAACCGGGAGAUAGCUGGUUCUCCCCGAAAGCUAUUUAGGUAGCGCCUCGUGAAUUCAUCUUCGGGGGUAGAGCACUGUUUCGGCUAGGGGGUCAUCCCGACUUACCAACCCGAUGCAAACUACGAAUACCGAAGAAUGUUAUCACGGGAGACACACGGCGGGUGCUAACGUCCGUCGUGAAGAGGGAAACAACCCAGACCGCCAGCUAAGGUCCCAAAGUCAUGGUUAAGUGGGAAACGAUGUGGGAAGGCACAGACAGCCAGGAUGUUGGCUUAGAAGCAGCCAUCAUUUAAAGAAAGCGUAAUAGCUCACUGGUCGAGUCGGCCUGCGCGGAAGAUGUAACGGGGCUAAACCAUGCACCGAAGCUGCGGCAGCGACACUAUGUGUUGUUGGGUAGGGGAGCGUUCUGUAAGCCUGCGAAGGUGACCUGUGAGGGUUGCUGGAGGUAUCAGAAGUGCGAAUGCUGACAUAAGUAACGAUAAAGCGGGUGAAAAGCCCGCUCGCCGGAAGACCAAGGGUUCCUGUCCAACGUUAAUCGGGGCAGGGUGAGUCGACCCCUAAGGCGAGGCCGAAAGGCGUAGUCGAUGGGAAACAGGUUAAUAUUCCUGUACUUGGUGUUACUGCGAAGGGGGGACGGAGAAGGCUAUGUUAGCCGGGCGACGGUUGUCCCGGUUUAAGCAUGUAGGCUGGUUAUCCAGGCAAAUCCGGAUAAUCAAGGCUGAGGUGUGAUGACGAGGCACUACGGUGCUGAAGUAACAAAUGCCCUGCUUCCAGGAAAAGCCUCUAAGCAUCAGGUAACAUCAAAUCGUACCCCAAACCGACACAGGUGGUCAGGUAGAGAAUACCAAGGCGCUUGAGAGAACUCGGGUGAAGGAACUAGGCAAAAUGGUGCCGUAACUUCGGGAGAAGGCACGCUGGUGUGUAGGUGAAGCCCCUGCGGGUGGAGCUGAGACCAGUCGAAGAUACCAGCUGGCUGCAACUGUUUAUUAAAAACACAGCACUGUGCAAACACGAAAGU
This 1042-nucleotide ribosomal RNA is filed under the name Klebsiella pneumoniae. RNAcentral's name for it is "partial 23S ribosomal RNA". It matches the Rfam family "Bacterial large subunit ribosomal RNA", at positions 812 to 1838 of the family's 2925-position model. Lineage: Bacteria; Pseudomonadati; Pseudomonadota; Gammaproteobacteria; Enterobacterales; Enterobacteriaceae. The record is from RNAcentral.